RNAcentral lists this ribosomal RNA (498 nucleotides) under uncultured bacterium. RNAcentral's name for it is "bacterial SSU rRNA". It matches the Rfam family "Bacterial small subunit ribosomal RNA", at positions 20 to 518 of the family's 1533-position model. The record is from RNAcentral.
UGGCUCAGGAUGAACGCUGGCGGCGUGCUUAACACAUGCAAGUCGAACGAGGGUUGCUGGUUGAAGUUUUCGGAUGGAGACCGGUAAUUCCUAGUGGCGGACGGGUGAGUAACGCGUGGGGAACCUGCCCCGCUCCGGGGGAUACCAGCUGGAAACGGCUGUUAAUACCGCAUAAGCGCACAGUAUCGCAUGAUGCAGUGUGAAAAACUCCGGUGGAAUGGGAUGGCCCCGCGUCUGAUUAGCCAGUUGGCAGGGUAACGGCCUACCAAAGCGACGAUCAGUAGCCGGCCUGAGAGGGCGACCGGCCACAUUGGGACUGAGACACGGCCCAAACUCCUACGGGAGGCAGCAGUGGGGAAUAUUGCACAAUGGGGGAAACCCUGAUGCAGCGACGCCGCGUGAGUGAGGAAGUAUUUCGGUAUGUAAAGCUCUAUCAGCAGGGAAGAAGAUGACGGUACUUGCACAAGAAGCCCCGGCUAACUACGUGCCAGCCGCAGC